Penaeus indicus is the source of this 666-nucleotide long non-coding RNA. RefSeq lists it as uncharacterized. The transcript is spliced from 3 exons. The record is from RefSeq and is a predicted model, not a curated record. Lineage: Eukaryota; Metazoa; Arthropoda; Malacostraca; Decapoda; Penaeidae.
GGAAAGACUAUGGUGGAGUUAAGAUAAAAACUUUCAAGGACUGUCUCCGUGUGACCAUCGCAAACUACAAGGAAAACGACGGUGUUGCCAUAGGAAUUAUAGGCAAAACAGAGGCUCUGGCUCUAGACAUAUCGAAGAACAAGUGGAUGGAAAUUGAAUGCCAAGUUUCAAGCAAAGAAGAGGGUGAAUGACAGGAAGAGAUGUCCAACACUGCAGAGAGGAAUUCUGUUGAAAGAGCUUACGACUAAGGAUGCCGAAGUUCUUGCUGACUGUCCUCAAGGAUUGCCAAAUACAGAGCUCACCUCAGACACCUCGAUCGACUUCCCUCGCUGGAGUUCCACGAGGGAACAUUUCGCCGUUAUUCCAGAAGAGAACCUGACUGUUAGUUUGUCCAUAUUUGGAGAAAACCUUUUCCUUUGUUGGGAUGGAAAACAGACGGCAGUCAAGACGAGCAAGGAAGACUGUCAAGCCUUGUCAGCUCACGAGGUACACAAGAUCACACUGGAUUACGAGUCGCAGUAGAUCAAGAGUGCUGAUGACCGCAUUCUGAGAAGUGAAUAGCACUCAUGCAAAUAAAGAUGACUUGAUGAAGAUGAAGUCUGACGGAGGCAAGGCCUGGGUUGUGCAGUCUGGGAGAUUGGCCUCACCUCCAGGACCAAGACCAGA